Molecule: ribosomal RNA, 816 nt
Filed under: uncultured Bacillota bacterium
Lineage: Bacteria; Bacillati; Bacillota
Description: bacterial SSU rRNA
Rfam family: Bacterial small subunit ribosomal RNA
Source: RNAcentral
CAAGUCGAACGCGAAAGUCCCCUUCGGGGGACAAGUAGAGUGGCGCACGGGUGAGUAACACGUAGGUAAUCUACCUUCGGAUGGGGAAUAACAACCGGAAACGGUUGCUAAUACCGCAUAAUGCAGCGGCACCUAAUGGUGACAGUUGUUAAAGCGGGGGAUCGCAAGACCUCGCGUCUGAAGAGGAGCCUGCGGCGGAUUAGCUAGUUGGUAAGGUAAUGGCUUACCAAGGCGACGAUCCGUAACCGGCCUGAGAGGGCGGUCGGUCACACUGACACUGACAUACGGGUCAGACUCCUACGGGAGGCAGCAGUCGGGAAUUUUGGGCAAUGGGCGCAAGCCUGACCCAGCAACGCCGCGUGAAGGAUGAAAUCCCUCGGGAUGUAAACUUCGCAAGAACGGGAAGAAUAAGUCUGUGUAAAUACCACAGAUGAUGACGGUACCGUUUGUAAGCUCCGGCUAACUCCGUGCCAGCAGCCGCGGUAAUACGGGGGGAGCAAGCGUUGUUCGGAUUUACUGGGCGUAAAGGGCGCGUAGGCGGCCAGCGCAAGUCAGUUGUGAAAUCUCCGAGCUUAACUCGGAAAGGUCAACUGAUACUGCGCGGCUAGAGUGCAGAAGGGGCAACUGGAAUUCUUGGUGUAGCGGUGAAAUGCGUAGAUAUCAAGAGGAACACCUGCGGCGAAGGCGGGUUGCUGGGCUGACACUGACGCUGAAGCGCGAAAGCUAGGGGAGCGAACGGGAUUAGAUACCCCGGUAGUCCUAGCCUUAAACGAUGAAUGCUUGGUGUCUGGGGUUAUAAAGUCCCCGGGUGCCGUC